This 253-nucleotide ribosomal RNA is filed under the name uncultured bacterium. RNAcentral describes it as "partial 16S ribosomal RNA". It matches the Rfam family "Bacterial small subunit ribosomal RNA", at positions 524 to 776 of the family's 1533-position model. The record is from RNAcentral.
UACGGAGGGUGCGAGCGUUAAUCGGAAUAACUGGGCGUAAAGGGCUCGCAGGCGGGCUUUUAAGUGAGAUGUGAAAUCCCAGGGCUUAACCUGGGAAUUGCAUUUCAGACUGGCAGUCUAGAGUACGGUAGGGAGGGGUAGAAUUCCACGUGUAGCGGUGAAAUGCGUAGAUAUUUGGAGGAAUACCGGUGGCGAAGGCGGCCCCCUGGACAAAGACUGACGCUCAGGUGCGAAAGCGUGGGGAGCAAACAGG